AUCAGGAAAAUAUUUAGAAAAACUGACCAAUACAAUUAAGCUUCAAUAAAAGGCUUUAUCUAACAUUUAGAGAAUUCAGAAACCAAUAUUUCAAACUUUACGUUCCUCUUAAAAACAGGAAAUGUUUAUGUACCAGGCUCCUCAGAAAGACUAAAGCAUUCCAAAAGUGUCCUCUGGUCAUAUAAGUUGCAUCAGAACACUUUUUGGAGAGAACAUUGCCUAAUAUGUGGGAGGCAAAGUGUGAGCCAUGAGCUUCAUAGAAACAAGUCUGAGCUGGGAUACUACACAUGGUGACCACAUGUGGGUGAUUCAUCCGUACUUGUAUCUGACUUCUUAUCAAUGUGACUAAUUUACCAUAACACAGAAAAGCACUUUUCCUCAAGCAAGUUAAUCAAUGAUAAUAGAGUUAUACAUGAGAAUAACAACAGUAACAGUGGAAUACAACUUGACAAAAAGGUACAGGACCCAUAAGAAGGAAAUCCUGCAGCUGCUUGCAGGGACACAAUAGAGCAAUGGGGAACACAGGUGAGACCAGGCCUUGGUCCCUUCUCUGUGUGUCUCCUGUGGGAGCCUGAGCUGAGCCCACACCCUGAAAACACAGAACUGAGGGAGCAGAUGGAAGAAAGAAUAUCAGAAGUUUGGAGGAUGAGAACAACCCAAAGAAGAGCAAGGUACUCGUGGAGCAGGUGGCUGACAAAGGAGCUGGAUGACCUGUCCUGGCCCAAUGACCCUGGAACCUCAGCCAGACUGCAGCCUCUCAGAGUACAGCCAACACUUGGGCUCCAUGCUGGCUCCAAGCCCUCAACACUGCCAAGGUCUCCAGAGGAAACUGCUGAUGUGUCAGCAGCUAUUAUGUCCUGACCAGCUGGAGAAAUAAAGCGGCAAG
Diceros bicornis minor is the source of this 886-nucleotide long non-coding RNA. RefSeq lists it as uncharacterized. The record is from RefSeq and is a predicted model, not a curated record. Lineage: Eukaryota; Metazoa; Chordata; Mammalia; Perissodactyla; Rhinocerotidae. The transcript is spliced from 4 exons.